AGUGUUCAGCCCCUUAACCUAAGGAGGAGCUACACAAAUGAAGAACUGUGGAACUGACCUCAGAUGCUCUCUCGUUGGAAAUUGGCACGCAAACCACAACCACGAUGGCGGCUUCUGAGAGGUGGAGGAGAGGGGUGUGGCAAAGCAGCAAGGAAGGGGGUCUGGGGUCCAGCCCAGCUGGGACAGUGAAGGUUCCCUGUUCAAGGGGACUCUGUUCCUUGGACAAUGAUUGCUUCCUUUAUGCUCUGGAGUCCAGCAGAGACUGACACACAGUUGGGGCUAAACACGUCUGAGGGUGAUGAAACUCCCAUUUCUGACGCCGUCAACUUGUUUUCUGUAAUGUUAGCCCUGCCAUAUUCCAGCUCGACAGAGCUUGGGCAGCCCGAGGUGGUGACUGUAUUUGGCCAUCAGCCAUGUCCCUUGCAGGGCCAGUCUCUGAGGUGCCAUGAGACCUUCUGUGCCUGGCAAGCCGGGGCACUUCGGAGAAUGGCAGCUGCCUGGUUUCUCAGGGGAGCAACUACAUUCCUAAGUCGCUUGGGGAUCGCUUGACUUCCCUCAUUCAUUCACCCAUCCUUCCAUCCAUCUAUUCCUUCAUCCAGCAAAUUGGACCCCUUCCGUGUGCCAGACACUGUUCUGAGCAGAAGCACCUGCCCUUGAGGAAGUGACACUCCAGUGGGGAGAGACAAGUAAGCUCACAAAGAUCUAUCUGCAAAAUCAAAUUCCAGGUAGUGAUCAGUGCCACGAACAAAAAUAAAAAUGAAUAAAGAGAUGUAAAAUGAUUUCCUUCCCCAAGGGCAGAGGAUUCUUUCUAGCAGGUUAUUUGGAAAAGUUCCCUCUGAAGAGGUGACAUUUGAUCAUUGUUAAAGUCACAUGCAUCAUUGUGAACAUUUCACAAAACACAGAAGAACCUAAUGCUUUCGCACAAACCAUCAUCUAGAAAUCACACCAUCUCAACAUCUUGUCGUUUAAAAAUUGAUAUAUAAUAAUGGUACAUAUUUCUGGGGUCCCUGUGAUAUUUUGAUACAUGCAGACAAUGUGUAAUGAUCAAAUCAGGGUAAUUAGGCUAUCCAUCACUUCAAACAUGUAUCAUUUCUUUGCCAAUGCCUUGUCUUUUGUCGUCUUAAAGUACAGAUUUGCAUCAUGCUUUUUAAAAUUUAACAUUACACUAUAAUUAUUUUGUAGCUGUGUUUAUGUUUUUCUGUUUUCAAGUAUCAAUAUAUAGUAUGGAUUUUUAAAAAAUUGGUACUGUAAAUGUACAUGAAGUUUUUCUGUCUUUACAAAAGAAGUGCAUAUUGUUGUAUGAAUUCUAGAAAAU
Molecule: long non-coding RNA, 1315 nt
Filed under: Homo sapiens (human)
Lineage: Eukaryota; Metazoa; Chordata; Mammalia; Primates; Hominidae
Description: HSALNT0391855
Source: RNAcentral